CAAAACAGAAGAGAGGUACAUAUCAUCAUGAUAUAUGCGGCAAUUUUGGUAUUUAUAGUAUUAAAUCUGAGCACAAUGUACAGAUAAGAGAUUGUCUUGUUCGUGAGGUUAGUUUAGCUCAUAGUGAAAAGUAUAAGGAAGCUGAUGUUGCAGUUGCUGUCAAGCGCAAAUAUGAAAGUUUGCGGAGAACAUAUAAAAAGAA
Molecule: long non-coding RNA, 202 nt
Organism: Amphimedon queenslandica
Lineage: Eukaryota; Metazoa; Porifera; Demospongiae; Haplosclerida; Niphatidae
Exons: 2
Source: RefSeq, a predicted model, not a curated record